RNAcentral lists this ribosomal RNA (625 nucleotides) under uncultured bacterium. Its description in RNAcentral is "bacterial SSU rRNA". It matches the Rfam family "Bacterial small subunit ribosomal RNA", at positions 755 to 1378 of the family's 1533-position model. The record is from RNAcentral.
GAAAGCGUGGGGAGCAAACAGGAUUAGAUACCCUGUUAGUCCACGCCCUAACCGAUGUCUAACUUGUCGUCGGGAGGGCUAAACCUUUCGGUGACGGAGCUAACGCAUUAAGUAGACCGCCUGGGGAGUACGGCCGCAAGGUUGAAACUCAAAUGAAUUGACGGGGGCCCGCACAAGCGGUGGAGCAUGUGGUUUAAUUCGAUGCAACGCGAAGAACCUUACCUACUCUUGACAUCCAGAGAACUUAGCAGAGAUGCUUUGGUGCCUUCGGGAACUCUGAGACAGGUGCUGCAUGGCUGUCGUCAGCUCGUGUUGUGAAAUGUUGGGUUAAGUCCCGCAACGAGCGCAACCCUUAUCCUUUGUUGCCAGCGAUUCGGUCGGGAACUCAAAGGAGACUGCCAGUGAUAAACUGGAGGAAGGUGGGGAUGACGUCAAGUCAUCAUGGCCCUUAUGGCCAGGGCCACACACGUGCUACAAUGGUCGGUACAGAGGGUAGCCAAACCGCGAGGUGGAGCCAAUCCCAUAAAGCCGAUCUUAGUCCGGAUUGCAGUCUGCAACUCGACUGCAUGAAGUCGGAAUCGCUAGUAAUCGUGGAUCAGCAUUGCCACGGUGAUACGUUCCCGGG